RNAcentral lists this ribosomal RNA (231 nucleotides) under uncultured bacterium. RNAcentral describes it as "partial 16S ribosomal RNA". It matches the Rfam family "Bacterial small subunit ribosomal RNA", at positions 103 to 334 of the family's 1533-position model. The record is from RNAcentral.
CGGGUGAGUAACACGUAUCCAACCUGCCGUCUACUCUUGGACAGCCUUCUGAAAGGAAGAUUAAUACAAGAUGGCAUCAUGAGUCCGCAUGUUCACAUGAUUAAAGGUAUUCCGGUAGACGAUGGGGAUGCGUUCCAUUAGAUAGUAGGCGGGGUAACAGCCCACCAAGACGAUGAUAGGUAGGGGUUCUGAGAGGAAGGUCCCCCACAUUGGAACUGAGACACGGUCCAA